UGGGGACAACAGUUGGAAACGACUGCUAAUACCCAAUAUGCCGCAAGUGAAAGUUUUUCGCCUGGAGAGGAGCUCGCGUCCGAUUAGCUAGUUGGGGUGGUAAAAGCGCACCAAGGCAACGAUCGGUAGCUGGUCUGAGAGGAUGAGCAGCCACACUGGGACUGAGACACGGCCCAGACUCCUACGGGAGGCAGCAGUGGGGAAUUUUCCGCAAUGGGCGCAAGUGACGGAGCAAUACCGCGUGAGGGAGGAAGGCUUUUGGGUUGUAAACCUCUUUUCUCAAGGAAGAAGCACUGACGGUACUUGAGGAAUCAGCAUCGGCUAACUCCGUGCCAGCAGCCGCGGUAAUACGGAGGAUGCAAGCGUUAUCCGGAAUUAUUGGGCGUAAAGCGUCCGCAGUGGUGCAUCAAGUCUGCUGUCAAAGACCAGGGCUUAACCCUGGGCCGGCAGUGGAAACUGGUGAACUAGAGUACGGUAGGGGUAGAGGGAAUUCCCAGUGUAGCGGUGAAAUGCGUAGAGAUUGGGAAGAACACCAGUGGCGAAGGGCUCUACUGGACCUGUACUGACACUCAGGGACGAAAGCUAGGGUAGCGAAAGGGAUUAGAUACCCCUGUAGUCCUAGCUGUAAACGAUGGAUACUAGGCGUUGCUUGUAUCGACCCGAGCAGUGCCGUAGCUAACGCGUUAAGUAUCCCGCCUGGGGAGUACGCACGCAAGUGUGAAACUCAAAGGAAUUGACGGGGGCCCGCACAAGCGUGGGAGUAUGUGGUUUAAUUCGAUGCAACGCGAAGAACCUUACCAGGACUUGACAUCCCGCGAAUCUCUUUGAAAGGAGA
RNAcentral lists this ribosomal RNA (835 nucleotides) under uncultured bacterium. RNAcentral's name for it is "bacterial SSU rRNA". It matches the Rfam family "Bacterial small subunit ribosomal RNA", at positions 138 to 1011 of the family's 1533-position model. The record is from RNAcentral.